UACGUAGGGUGCAAGCGUUGUCCGGAAUUAUUGGGCGUAAAGAGCUCGUAGGCGGUCUGUCGCGUCUGCUGUGAAAACUCAGGGCUUAACCCUGAGCUUGCAGUGGGUACGGGCAGACUAGAGUGCGGUAGGGGAGACUGGAAUUCCUGGUGUAGCGGUGAAAUGCGCAGAUAUCGGGAGGAACACCAGUGGCGAAGGCGGCACUCUGGGCCAGUAUUGACGCUGAGGAGCGAAAGCGUGGGGAGCGAACAGG
Molecule: ribosomal RNA, 253 nt
Filed under: uncultured bacterium
Lineage: Bacteria
Description: partial 16S ribosomal RNA
Rfam family: Bacterial small subunit ribosomal RNA
Source: RNAcentral